This is a long non-coding RNA of Brienomyrus brachyistius, 4817 nucleotides long. RefSeq lists it as uncharacterized. Lineage: Eukaryota; Metazoa; Chordata; Actinopteri; Osteoglossiformes; Mormyridae. The record is from RefSeq and is a predicted model, not a curated record. The transcript is spliced from 3 exons.
AAUGCCCUCCUCCCGGAGUUCAGUCAAAGGUGACUCCUGCACUCAGAGCAAUCCCUGUUGCACUGCCGCCACGCCUCCGGAUGCUGCCACCAAAUGAGCACUUGGAUGCAAAUUAUUUUUCUCAAAACGUUCUCAUUUAUAUGAGUCAUUUUCAACUAACCUACAUCCAGGACAACGGCAGCAUACAGCAGGUCCAAGAAAAACUCAGUGUAGAUCCAACAUAAACUAAAACAUACAUAAACUUUUCCAUAAUGGUUCUCGUUAGAAAUGCGCCUUUUUCUGGAUUGCUCAGGUAUCCACUAUAUCCUCCCUAAAAAUUUCCAUGGACAAGACACUUUUAACAGGAAGAAUAUUAUGCUUAAAUUCACAGUGUUCAGAAAGCUGUAGGCCUUAAACUUGCUACUAAAAAACAGAGCCUUAGCUAGCAAAAGGUCAGCUAGCAUCAGGUUAAAAUCAGGUAAGCAAGUAUCAGGCUAAAAUCAGGUAAGCUAGUAUCAGGCUAAAAUCAGGUAAGAUAGUAUCAGGCUAAAAUAAUGUAAGCUAGUAUCAGACUAAAAUCAGGUAAGCUACUAUCAGGCUAAAAUCAGGUAAGCUAGUAUCAGGCUAAAAUCAGGUAAGCUAGUAUCAGGCUAAAAUAAUGUAAGCUACUAUCAGACUAAAAUAAUGUAAGCUAGUAUCAGACUAAAAUCAGGUAAGCUAGUAUCAGGCUAAAAUCAGGUAAGCUAGUAUCAGACUAAAAUAAUGUAAGCUAGUAUCAGACUAAAAUCAGGUAAGCUAGUAUCAGACUAAAAUAAUGUAAGCUAGUAUCAGACUAAAAUCAGGUAAGCUAGUAUCAGGCUAAAAUCAGGUAAGCUAGUAUCAGACUAAAAUAAUGUAAGCUAGUAUCAGGCUAAAAUCAGGUAAGCUAGUAUCAGGCUAAAAUAAUGUAAGCUAGUAUCAGGCUAAAAUAAUGUAAGCUAGUAUCAGGCUAAAAUCAGGUAAGCUAGUAUCAGACUAAAAUAAUGUAAGCUAGUAUCAGACUAAAAUCAGGUAAGCUAGUAUCAGGCUAAAAUCAGGUAAGCUAAUAUCAGGCUAAAAUAAUGUAAGCUAGUAUCAGGCUAAAAUAAUGUAAGCUAGCAUCAGGCUAAAAUCAGGUAAGCAAGUAUUGGGCUAAAAUCAGGUAAGCUAGUAUCAGGCUAAAAUCAGGUAAGCUAGUAUCAGGCUAAAAUAAUGUAAGCUAGUAUCAGGCUAAAAUCAGGUAAGCUAGUAUCAGGGUAAAAUCAGGUAAGCUAGUAUCAGGGUAAAAUCAGGUAAGCUAGAUUCAGAAUCAUGGAAUUUAGGUUUAGACUAAAAUGAGGUAAAUUUGGUUCUGUCUAAAAUCAAGUCAGCUAGCAUCAGGCUAAAAUCAGGUCAGCUAGAUUCAGGCCAAUGUCAGAUAUAUUAGAUUCAGGCUAAACUCAGGUUAUAUAGCAUCAGGUUAAAAUCAGGUAAGCUACUAUCAGCAUAAAAUCAGGUCAGCGAGCAUCAGGCUAAAAUCAGGGCAGCUAGAUUCAAGCUAACAUCAGAAAUGUUAGAUUCAGACUAAACUCAGGCCAGAUAGCAUCAGGCUAAAAUCAGGCUCUCUGCUGGUUUCUUAGUUAAUUGAUGGACAGCCAAAGAUGCAUGAGGACCUUACAAGAAGCAUGAUAUAUGCACGCCGCAGUCUUUUAAUAUGCAAAGUGCUGCACUGAAAUGAAUCCUUCAACUAUACAGAUGUUUGAGAUUUAAUCAAGGACGCGAAUAAAGACACAUUCCAGUUUUUAUCAUCAUUCCCGGUGUUUUACGGCGCUCCCAUAGCCGUCACACCACUAUAAACAUCGAAUCCUCCCAUUAGUGACUCUAAAUUUAUCCCCGCGGUCAACAGUGUGAUUGUGCAGGGUGAAAUGGUGAGCUGACGUCACAGGGCGCCCAGAUUUCUGGCGACAGCAUGCAGAUCACAUCGGCCACGUGUGCACGGCCCUCAUAAGCUCAUACAUCUUCAAAUAAUUAUGCCGUCCCAAAUAAAAUGCCUUCAGAAUAAAUUGGGAUUGCGUGUCUUUCGCACCCCGGACAUGAACACAAUUGCUGGAGGGUGCCAUAUCCCUUUUGAUAGAAAAAGGAGGGAUCAGUUUUGAUAGAGCCUUUCAGGCAACCUUUCGGCCAUCAUAAUUUUUGAAAUGAUUCCUCUCGGACGGCGGUGGUUCUGAUGUACUUGAUGCCCUUGGUGAAAUCUGAGCCAACUGCUGAGAUGUGCAGUUGUGCAGGCACCCACUGUGGUGCGCCUUGAAUGAUGCCAUCCUGGGCGAUUGCCCAUCUUGCCCUUGCCAGGGUCUGCCCAAGCUCUUGAAUACGGCUAUGUUCACACAGCAUGCAGGAAAUCGAAUGGUCUGGGCUGGGUAAUUGAGCGGUAUGGCUUUUUGGUAUCUGGUGCAGGAUCACGUUAGCCAUUAGCCGUGAGAAAAACGCCGACCUCUCAUCUGUGGAAGCUCUCUCCUUACAGAAACACGGGCUUCCACAUUUGAAUUUAUUAAUUUCCUCCGAAAGUGAGAUACAGGUCUUAUAGGAGGUGCAUCUAGGUGCGGAGUGUCGAAAGCUGACGCGUAAUGUUUAGCGAUCUUACACGGGGCUGCCAUAUCGAGAAAGUGCAAUGCUGCUACACGGCUCACAUGCACAAAACAGCAGACGUAUACAAGACAGGGCUCCAAGUCAAUCCAUCCAUCCAUCCAUUUUCCAAACCACUUAUCCUACUGGGUCGUGGGGGGGGUCCGGAGCUUAUCCUGGAAGCAAUGGGCACGAGGCAGGGAACAACCCAGGAUGGUGGGGCCAGCCCAUUGCAGGGCACAAGUCAAUCAUAAGUAAAAAAAACAAGAAGCUCUAGAAAAACGUAGAAUAAAACCAAACAAUAAUAUCCUCGUCACCUGCAGCCGACUGAAGACGGGAAAGAAAUUUGGACACGAUGUUCAUGUAUAAAGACGUGCUCCUCAUAGACAGGAAGACAUGCAGAGAGACACAGCUCAGGAGAACACCCGAUCUGCACUGACUGCCGAGAGCUGGGCACUUUAUCUCCGGGUGUGUGAUGUCAUCAGAGCAAAGCCGGCCUCACCCGUCAUCGCUGGAUGUCUGCGCCCCCUCUCCACCUCGCCGUGGUGUUCGCUUACACGGCCCCUGCUGUAACGUAUCCGUCUGAGUUGGUUGUGCACAGGAAUAUAGGGCAAAUUUGGAGAAGAGAACCGCUGGAAAAGCGUUGAGCAAUUGAUGCCUGUAGAAUGCAUGCAAACACAUGCAUGACUUCUGUAAGACUCUAAGAGUCGAUCAUGCAGACAAACUGGGAAAUUUCAUAAUCAAAACACUGCAGUCCCCCGGUUGAGCCACUUCUGCUUAUGGGCGCCAUGAUCCCUGUAGAAGAAACAUGAGACCGUCUCGUUUUCCGGGGUUUUCUCUAAGGGGGAGAGAAAAAAAUAUUUGCAAGAAAGGAAUGGGGCAGGGACGUAAAAAUCAUCCUCACACAGCCCCUGUAGUCUCAGGGGAGGGGUCGCGUUCCAAGGUUUCAAGGCUUAAAGGCCUGCAUCUGAUGGCAUGCUAUGCAUUCUGGGAACUCACCGGCCUCAGCAGGAGAAUGAAGAAGACCGUGGUGUUUUUUGUUAUUGUUUAUAUUUUUAAUCAUUCCUAAAUUAUACAUGACAACCUGAAAAGCAAAACACACAAGCCCUAAAACCAGAAACAGACUCUAUGAACGUACUGUGACGGAAAGUUUGAAAGAGUUUUGACUGCCUGAAUUAAACAAGACAAUUUUGCCCCCUAGUGGCGAAGAGACUCAUUUACAAUGUUCUACCCAAGCGUCCAUUUAUCCGGACCAUGAAAAACAACACAAAAAUUCACACACUCUAUUCCUGGCUGUGGUUUAAAUGCACUGUUUAGAGAAUGAGAUCUGCGUCUGUGUUUGGCUAAUUAAGUGAACUACAGUUGUCAUGCAUGUCGGGCGCCUGUGUUUCCUGUCUGUUCUCUUUCUACAGCGUUUAUCAUUCGUUAAUGUGGGCCAGUGGGGUCAAUUCAGACCCCUGACCUCCAUCAUGCACAGUUGGCUUCCAGUGAAUGACGCAAGGGCAGAGGGGGCUGGCCUCAUGAGGUCCCCAAGGAAACAUGACAGACCAUUUUAGAGCUGACGGCUGAUGUUGUCUCCAGGGUUUGCUGCUGGCAGGGGCCCUUCCGGGGCCUGAUAUAGACUCACGGUUAUCCUGAGAUCCAGGGUCUGCUCCGAUAGCUGUGCUCUUCCUUGAGGCGUCGUCACUCGAGCCCUAAUUUAUGAAUAAUGUUACACUGUGCAGAGGGCCACUUACUGAAUGGAUUCCAGAUACCGUGUUGCCUGCAUUCUGCACUGGUGCCACCAAGCACAGCACCGGCUGAAAUACCACCUGUGACUUUAUGACAAAUCAGCUCUCGCCCCCUCGCUCCUUAACCCUGAGUUACCUUCCAGAUACUUCUCCAGGACAGGGGUGUGGGGGAGCUUAGAGUACCGUCUUUGCAUUUUGUCUGUUUGCCGCGAUAUGUAUGUUCGUCUGUGCACUAUGUUCUUGCUGCUGUACGCGUCACAAUUUCCCCACCAGGAUCAACAAAGUUAAUCUUAAUCUUAAUCUUAAUCCUAACAGCAGAAUAACCACUGGCAGACACUGACAGUAAAUCCAUAAAUCUGCGUGGACUUCCCCUGUAUCCUUCCCUUACAGUAGAACUCAUCACCUUUUUUUCAGAGUCAAGAGGAAAUCUGUUGAUGGUCUGAGAUGCCGAACAUUUUCAAGUCUUACGAUUCCAUCUGAGAAAUACCC